GUUUGCUGGAGUGUGCUAGAGCUCAGAGGAGCUGCCCUACACCUUUCUCUCUCUCUCUCUCUAGGAUUUUUCUCUCUCUACAAAGGAGUCGCCGUUUUGCGCCGAUUUCGCGUCCCGUUCGACGCUCGCUGUUUAGGUGGACUUGGGGCCAGCUUUUAAAAGUGUCGGAUUUCGAGCCAUUUUGGUGUUGUUGCUCCUGGCUGAUUCGGAGAGGGAUUGCAGCAGCUAAAGAGGAGUUCCUCAGCUGUGAAUUAGCCAUCUUAGACCAGGGAUAAACUACUUCAAGGCUGGACCAAGCAGGUUUGCGGAUUAAUUUAAGCUUAAUUG
Long non-coding RNA from Ananas comosus (pineapple), 327 nucleotides. RefSeq lists it as uncharacterized. NCBI's taxonomy places the organism in Eukaryota, Viridiplantae, Streptophyta, Magnoliopsida, Poales, Bromeliaceae. The transcript has 3 exons. The record is from RefSeq and is a predicted model, not a curated record.